AGUUUUGCCUGUUAGGUGAGGCUCCUAUGCAAACACAGGCCACUGCCCAAAAAUGUCCAAAGACGCCAAUGGGUAGAACAGGGAUUGUCGGAUUAAGGCUUUCCAUAAUGUGGCUAAGAGUAAUUCUUUACGUUGUAUAGUGCCAAAACUUUAGCGAGGGGAGUCUGU
This is a non-coding RNA of Listeria innocua Clip11262, 168 nucleotides long. Lineage: Bacteria; Bacillati; Bacillota; Bacilli; Caryophanales; Listeriaceae. The record is from Rfam.